UCGGGGACCGGGAUCGGGGACCGGGAUUGGGGAAUAUCUGUAUGUGCGGGGCACCCAGGUGUCAUCCAGGAGGGGAGAACAUCCAGAUGUGAGCUGAGCAGCCGGACGGAGAAGAGAAAAGCCUCAUUUCUGUACAACAGUCCAUUGGAUCCAAAGCAAUGGAAGUGGACAGGAGGAGAAUGGGCAGGAAUUUCCUCUAUUUUGCUUCUCUUUUCUCAUCUUGUGGAUUUCAAUCCUGCUGCUGCACAGGGCCAGCCAAAGCCCUGUUUAUGGCUCACUCAUUCCAAGGGACUUCUCUUGUCUUUGGUGGGAUGGUGGAAACCAAACAGAGCCCAGAUGGGAACACCCAGAGCUGGAGGAGCAUCACCUCAACCAUCUCCCAGGCCUGAGGUGGCAUUCAUUGGAUCCUUCUUGCACAAGCUCUGCGGUUUAGCCUUGGCAGAGCAAUUAUAGCUGGACAAGUGCUGAAAUACCUCUGUGUGUGAGAGCAGAGGCUGAGGAACUGCCCAGCCUGGCCCUGGGAUGGGGAUGAACAGCCUGCCUGGAUCAGCUGAGCCUCCAGCAGCUGCCCUGCCCUGUCCUUGUGCUGCUGACAGCCACACCAUGCUCAGCAGCAAGUCAAACUAGAGGGAAGGGCUGGAUUUUCCUCCCAACAUCUUUAUUCUCAUGUAAUCAAAAUCCAUUUAAGAUCUGAUUAAAAGAUUGAAUUAACCAAUAAAA
This is a long non-coding RNA of Cyanistes caeruleus (blue tit), 720 nucleotides long. RefSeq lists it as uncharacterized. NCBI's taxonomy places the organism in Eukaryota, Metazoa, Chordata, Aves, Passeriformes, Paridae. The record is from RefSeq and is a predicted model, not a curated record.